GAUGGACGCUCGCUACAGGCUUAACACAUGCAAGUCGAGGGGAAACGGCAUCGAAAGCUUGCUUUUGAUGGGCGUCGACCGGCGCACGGGUGAGUAACGCGUAUCCAACCUGCCCAUCACUUGGGAAUAACCUUGCGAAAGUAAGACUAAUGCCCAAUGACAUCCCACGAAGGCAUCCGAAUGGGAUUAAAGAUUUAUCGGUGAUGGAUGGGGAUGCGUCUGAUUAGCUUGUUGGCGGGGUGACGGCCCACCAAGGCAACGAUCAGUAGGGGUUCUGAGAGGAAGGUCCCCCACAUUGGAACUCAGACACGGUCCAAACUCCUACGGGAGGCAGCAGUGAGGAAUAUUGGUCAAUGGGCGAGAGCCUGAACCAGCCAAGUAGCGUGCAGGAUGACGGCCCUAUGGGUUGUAAACUGCUUUUAUAAGGGAAUAAAGUGGGUCACGUGUGACUUUUUGCAUGUACCUUAUGAAUAAGGACCGGCUAAUUCCGUG
RNAcentral lists this ribosomal RNA (492 nucleotides) under uncultured bacterium. RNAcentral's name for it is "partial 16S ribosomal RNA". It matches the Rfam family "Bacterial small subunit ribosomal RNA", at positions 28 to 507 of the family's 1533-position model. The record is from RNAcentral.